CGUCUAUAUACGUAUAGCAUAUCAAUAAGCGGAGGAAAAGAAACUAACUAGGAUUCCCUCAGUAACGGCGAGUGAAGCGGGAAGAGCUCAAAUUUGAAAUCUUCAAGGUUCUACCUUGACGAAUUGUAGUUUAAAGAAGUGUUUUCUGUUGGAAUUUUGGUAAAAGUUCUUUGGAAAUAGACAUCAUAAGAGGGUGAGAAUCCCGUAUUUGACCAUUAUUUCCAGCUUUGUGAUACACUUUCAAAGAGUCGGAUUGUUUGGGAAUGCAGUCCAAAAUGGGUGGUAAAUUUCAUCUAAAGCUAAAUACUGGCGAGAGACCGAUAGCGAACAAGUACCGUGAGGGAAAGAUGAAAAGAACUUUGAAAAGAGAGUUAAACAGUACGUGAAAUUGUCAAAAGGGAAGCGUUUGACACCAGUGUUGUUUUCUCGAAAAUCAAUUAAAAAUGGCGGGAUUUUGUGUUGUAUUGACUUUAUCAGCUUUCUGCACUUUUUUCCUGUCUUUUUUAAUGCACUAUUUCGUUUAACAAGUCAACAUCAAUUUCUUUUGUUGUAAAAGGGUCAUUGGAAGGUGGCUUUCUUUUCGGAGAAAGUGUUUAUAGCCUUUGCCUUCUGCAAUCGGAGAGAUUGAGGUCUGCAGCGUAGAUCCUUCGGGGUUAGAUGCAUUUGUGCUAAGCUAUAGCCUUUCAUAGACAACUUGUUGACUAUGAUCAGUCAUGUAGCUUACUCGCUUAUGUCUAUUUUACCUACGCUUAGGAUGUUGACGAUCAGCUGAGCGCG
RNAcentral lists this ribosomal RNA (777 nucleotides) under uncultured Neocallimastigales. Its description in RNAcentral is "partial large subunit ribosomal RNA". It matches the Rfam family "Eukaryotic large subunit ribosomal RNA", at positions 26 to 628 of the family's 3401-position model. Lineage: Eukaryota; Fungi; Neocallimastigomycota; Neocallimastigomycetes; Neocallimastigales. The record is from RNAcentral.